ACAGGAUUAGAUACCCUGGUAGUCCACGCCGUAAACGAUGUCGACUUGGAGGUUGUGCCCUUGAGGCGUGGCUUCCGGAGCUAACGCGUUAAGUCGACCGCCUGGGGAGUACGGCCGCAAGGUUAAAACUCAAAUGAAUUGACGGGGGCCCGCACAGGCGGUGGAGCAUGUGGUUUAAUUCGAUGCAACGCGAAGAACCUUACCUACUCUUGACAUCCACGGAAUUCGCCAGAGAUGGCUUAGUGCCUUCGGGAACCGUGAGACAGGUGCUGCAUGGCUGUCGUCAGCUCGUGUUGUGAAAUGUUGGGUUAAGUCCCGCAACGAGCGCAACCCUUAUCCUUUGUUGCCAGCACGUAAUGGUGGGAACUCAAAGGAGACUGCCGGUGAUAAACCGGAGGAAGGUGGGGAUGACGUCAAGUCAUCAUGGCCCUUACGAGUAGGGCUACACACGUGCUACAAUGGCAUAUACAAAGAGAAGCGAACUCGCGAGAGCAAGCGGACCUCAUAAAGUAUGUCGUAGUCCGGAUUGGAGUCUGCAACUCGACUCCAUGAAGUCGGAAUCGCUAGUAAUCGUAGAUCAGAAUGCUACGGUGAAUACGUUCCCGGGCCUUGUACACACCGCCCGUCACACCAUGGGAGCGGGUUCUGCCAGAAGUAGUUAGCCUAACCGCAAGGAGGGCGAUUACCACGGCAGGGUUCGUGACUGGGGUGAAGUCGUAACAAGGUAACC
This 730-nucleotide ribosomal RNA is filed under the name uncultured bacterium. RNAcentral's name for it is "bacterial SSU rRNA". It matches the Rfam family "Bacterial small subunit ribosomal RNA", at positions 772 to 1501 of the family's 1533-position model. The record is from RNAcentral.